UACGGAAGGUCCGGGCGUUAUCCGGAUUUAUUGGGUUUAAAGGGAGCGUAGGCUGUCUAUUAAGCGUGUUGUGAAAUUUACCGGCUCAACCGGUAGCUUGCAGCGCGAACUGGUCGACUUGAGUAUGCAGGAAGUAGGCGGAAUUCAUGGUGUAGCGGUGAAAUGCUUAGAUAUCAUGACGAACUCCGAUUGCGCAGGCAGCUUACUGUAGCAUAACUGACGCUGAUGCGCGAAAGUGCGGGUAUCAAACAGGAUUAGAUACCCUGGUAGUCCGGCCCGGUAGUCCGGCUGACUGACU
This 298-nucleotide ribosomal RNA is filed under the name Hoylesella timonensis 4401737 = DSM 22865 = JCM 15640. RNAcentral's name for it is "Prevotella timonensis 4401737 = DSM 22865 = JCM 15640 partial 16S ribosomal RNA". It matches the Rfam family "Bacterial small subunit ribosomal RNA", at positions 524 to 821 of the family's 1533-position model. Lineage: Bacteria; Pseudomonadati; Bacteroidota; Bacteroidia; Bacteroidales; Prevotellaceae. The record is from RNAcentral.